This 254-nucleotide ribosomal RNA is filed under the name uncultured bacterium. RNAcentral's name for it is "partial 16S ribosomal RNA". It matches the Rfam family "Bacterial small subunit ribosomal RNA", at positions 524 to 776 of the family's 1533-position model. The record is from RNAcentral.
UACGUAGGUGGCAAGCGUUGUCCGGAAUUAUUGGGCUUAAAGCGCGCGCAGGCGGCCUCUUAAGUCUGAUGUGAAAGCCCCCGGCUCAACCGGGGAGGGCCAUUGGAAACUGGGAGGCUUGAGUAUAGGAGAGAAGAGUGGAAUUCCACGUGUAGGCGGUGAAAUGCGUAGAGAUGUGGAGGAACACCAGUGGCGAAGGCGACUCUUUGGCCUAUAACUGACGCUGAGGCGCGAAAGCGUGGGGAGCAAACAGG